RNAcentral lists this unclassified non-coding RNA (206 nucleotides) under Hevea brasiliensis (rubber tree). Lineage: Eukaryota; Viridiplantae; Streptophyta; Magnoliopsida; Malpighiales; Euphorbiaceae. The record is from RNAcentral.
GGCUGAGAUCCGUCGCUUCUUUGAAGAUUGUAUCCUUUGAAGUAUUUGUUUAAGCUUUGGAGCAGUUCUGCUCAUAAGUUUUGGAGGCCCUGGAGACCGAAAGGGUUUCAGUUUGGUUUUCGUUUUUUUUUGGAUCAAAUAAAACUGGAUGAACCGAAUGGAAUUGAAACCAAAACUAAACGAAAACCAAACUGAAACCGAGGGAA